UACGAAGGGUGCAAGCGUUAAUCGGAAUUACUGGGCGUAAAGCGCGCGUAGGUGGUUCGUUAAGUUAGGAGUGAAAGCCCCGGGCUCAACCUGGGAAUUGCUUCUAAAACUGGCGAGCUAGAGUAUGGUAGAGGGUGGUGGAAUUUCCUGUGUAGCGGUGAAAUGCGUAGAUAUAGGAAGGAACAUCAGUGGCGAAGGCGACCACCUGGACUGAUACUGACACUGAGGCACGAAAGCGUGGGGAGCAAACAGGAUUAGAUACCCUGGUAGUCCCU
Molecule: ribosomal RNA, 275 nt
Filed under: uncultured prokaryote
Description: partial 16S ribosomal RNA
Rfam family: Bacterial small subunit ribosomal RNA
Source: RNAcentral